GGGGGCGUAGCUCAGCUGGUUAGAGCGCCUGCUCGACAAGCAGGAGGUCACUGAUUCGAGUUCAGUCGUCCCCACCA
RNAcentral lists this transfer RNA (77 nucleotides) under Ihubacter massiliensis. RNAcentral describes it as "tRNA-Val". It matches the Rfam family "tRNA". Rfam says of the family: Transfer RNA (tRNA) molecules are approximately 80 nucleotides in length. Their secondary structure includes four short double-helical elements and three loops (D, anti-codon, and T loops). Further hydrogen bonds mediate the characteristic L-shaped molecular structure. tRNAs have two regions of fundamental functional importance: the anti-codon, which is responsible for specific mRNA codon recognition, and the 3' end, to which the tRNAs corresponding amino acid is attached (by aminoacyl-tRNA synthetases). tRNAs cope with the degeneracy of the genetic code in two manners: having more than one tRNA (with a specific anti-codon) for a particular amino acid; and 'wobble' base-pairing, i.e. permitting non-standard base-pairing at the 3rd anti-codon position. The record is from RNAcentral. Lineage: Bacteria; Bacillati; Bacillota; Clostridia; Peptostreptococcales; Anaerovoracaceae. RNAcentral also lists the same sequence under 4 other names.